GGUGGUAUGGCUCAAGUGGUAGAGUGCCUGCCUAGCAAGCUCAAGACACUGAGUUCAAACCCCAGUACUACCA
RNAcentral lists this transfer RNA (73 nucleotides) under Dipodomys ordii (Ord's kangaroo rat). It matches the Rfam family "tRNA". Rfam says of the family: Transfer RNA (tRNA) molecules are approximately 80 nucleotides in length. Their secondary structure includes four short double-helical elements and three loops (D, anti-codon, and T loops). Further hydrogen bonds mediate the characteristic L-shaped molecular structure. tRNAs have two regions of fundamental functional importance: the anti-codon, which is responsible for specific mRNA codon recognition, and the 3' end, to which the tRNAs corresponding amino acid is attached (by aminoacyl-tRNA synthetases). tRNAs cope with the degeneracy of the genetic code in two manners: having more than one tRNA (with a specific anti-codon) for a particular amino acid; and 'wobble' base-pairing, i.e. permitting non-standard base-pairing at the 3rd anti-codon position. Lineage: Eukaryota; Metazoa; Chordata; Mammalia; Rodentia; Heteromyidae. The record is from Rfam by way of RNAcentral.